GGCGGACAGAAGGGAGCUUGCUCCCGGAUGUUAGCGGCGGACGGGUGAGUAACACGUGGGUAACCUGCCUGUAAGACUGGGAUAACUCCGGGAAACCGGAGCUAAUACCGGAUAGUUCCUUGAACCGCAUGGUUCAAGGAUGAAAGACGGUUUCGGCUGUCACUUACAGAUGGACCCGCGGCGCAUUAUUUAGUUGGUGGGGUAAUGGCUCACCAAGGCGACAAUGCGUAUCCAACCUGAGAGGGUGAUCGGCCACACUGGGACUGACACACGGCCCAUACUCCUACGGGAGGCAGCAGUAGGGAAUCUUCCGCAAUGGACGAAGGUCUGACGGAGCAACGCCGCGUGAGUGAUGAAGGUUUUCGGAUCGUAAAUCUCUGUUGUUAGGGAAAAACAAGUGCGAGAGUAACUGCUCGCACCUUGACGGUACCUAACCAGAAUCCCACGGCUAACUACGUGCCAGCAACAGCGGUAAUACGUAUGUGGCAUGCGUUGUCCGGAAUUAUUGGGCGUAAAGGGCUCGCAGGCGGUUUCUUAAGUCUGAUGUGAA
Molecule: ribosomal RNA, 550 nt
Filed under: Bacillus pumilus
Lineage: Bacteria; Bacillati; Bacillota; Bacilli; Caryophanales; Bacillaceae
Description: bacterial SSU rRNA
Rfam family: Bacterial small subunit ribosomal RNA
Source: RNAcentral